RNAcentral lists this long non-coding RNA (458 nucleotides) under Citrus maxima (pomelo). Its description in RNAcentral is "long non-coding RNA (CMAX_LNC000535)". Lineage: Eukaryota; Viridiplantae; Streptophyta; Magnoliopsida; Sapindales; Rutaceae. The record is from RNAcentral.
GUUAAUUGUUCUUGCUUUAUGAUUUGGUCAUUUCAGGUUUCAAUCAUCAAGUUGAGCAUCUUGUAUUGAUCUGUUCAAGAUCCAGAGCAGUGUUUGGGGGUGAUAAGCAGGUCAAAUCACUACAGUUUUUAUACUCACAGUGAGGCAAGUUUUCUCAAAAAUAGAAUUUCCACAAACAAGGAGAUCCAAUCCUGAUAAAUAAAAGUUCACAAGAGUAGAAAUGGUGUAAAAAGCCCAACAUCUAAUGUACCAAAAAGAAUCCCAAUGAAUCAUCCAGAGUAUAAAAAUAAAUGAAACCUAAACACACACACAGAUUUCUUAUAGAGCAUCACAAAGAUAAUUGAAAAGAAAUUAGAAUACCAUAAAAAAGAAGACCAUUGAUGCAUAGCUAAAAAUGAAAAAGCUUCUCGGGCAACAGAAAAGAGGGAGAACCACUUAGCAGCUUGCCAAUUCCAUAC